This is a non-coding RNA of Cajanus cajan (pigeon pea), 1465 nucleotides long. The record is from RefSeq and is a predicted model, not a curated record. NCBI's taxonomy places the organism in Eukaryota, Viridiplantae, Streptophyta, Magnoliopsida, Fabales, Fabaceae.
CCAGACAUUUUUCCUGAUGUUCUAUUGAUUCCAGAUACAACUUGAUAUUGGAAAUGCUAACAAGUCUAUUAUAUUACGGUCUGCCAGCUCAAGGCUUGAGUUUCCAGGAUACCGGGCAGUGUUUAUGGAUGUUGUUACCAAAGCUGUUCAAGAUAAAGACAUUGAUGGAUCCAGUCAUGAUCAAACAUUUGGGGUACUAAAUUCCUUGAAGGUGUGUUGAAGUGGUUCUGGAUACUCAACUGUUAAUAACAAUUCACUAAGUGAAUCAACCUCCCAAGUGAUGAAUGCAAUUACCGUGUCUUGAAAAGGUUGAGUGUAUACCUUGUCUUUGACCUAGAGAGCCUUAAAAUUAGAUGGAACUUGCAUUGUCCUUAUGGACUUGUUGUUCAAAAAUUAGGCUGUGAUGACUCUAAAAUCUCUUCUGACAUUCAAAAUCAUCACCAGAGCCACUCAAACUGUUCUUGGUGCAUGGUUGCAUCUUAUUUGGAGUUUUGAAUUUUUCAUUGGAAUCUAAUGCCUCUCAUAUUUAAUGAUUUGUUUUUUGUUGCUUGUAUUCUUGGUUUGUUUGUUAUUUUGGCUCAGUCAACUGGGUUUCUUAUAUACUAUUCUUUAAUUCAUUUGUCUUGGCUUGUUUUUCACGUUCUUGGUUCUGGAAUCUAAAGGGAAGUCCUUGGAGGAGUUGAGUGGGGAGAACGAAGAUGAAGAAGGUGAUAAUGAUCAUGAGCAGCAACAGCAAGGUGCAUCCUCUUCUGGAGAAGUUUGAAAAAAGAAAGUUUGAAUUAUCCUCUCAAAGCUCAACAUUUACUCCAGGAGAGGAUGGAGCUGAUAGCCAACCAUCCAUAAAUCACACGCCUUCUGACUUGAUGUUAUGGAUGAUAAGAGGAAGAGAAGCUACAAAUGAAACAAGAAUUAAAUGAUGCUAGGAAAGAAAUGCAAGCUACUAAGAAAGAAGUACAAGAUACUACGAACCAAGUGCACGCUUUAAUGCAAUACUUGGGAUUUGUUGGCUCUUCUUCUCAUCCAUAUUCAUCACCUCAACUUAGUAAUGAAAGUGAAGAUGAUGAUGAUGAUGAAAAGAGUGAUCAUAUCGAUAGGUGUGAUUGAACAAAGCCUUAGUGAAGAUUGGAUGGAGUUUUUCUUAAUAUAGGUGUUGAUUUUAAAUCUAGAUACUUUAUUUUUUGACUAGAUAUAUUUUUUUUUUAGUAAAGAUAGAUUGACAUUGCAGUUAUAUGUUAAGAACCUUAAUUACUCUCUCUAUGAAAUGUGGGGUUGGUCUUGUUUACAAAUGGUUGUACGUAGCUUAAAGAAUAACAUACUACAUAUGCCCAAAAUUCCCAUUUACAUUGGGUUCCUUCGUACUUGAACCACACAUUUUAGCCUCUUGUAGUCCUUAAUUGGUAUUUACCUGAUGGUAGUGUCCAGUUAAAAAAAUAUUUUUUUAACAUCUUGGACAUAGAUUGAGUAA